Molecule: ribosomal RNA, 516 nt
Filed under: Triticum aestivum (bread wheat)
Lineage: Eukaryota; Viridiplantae; Streptophyta; Magnoliopsida; Poales; Poaceae
Description: partial small subunit ribosomal RNA
Source: RNAcentral
AUGGCGCCCUGCGUCAGCCGCUCUGCCGCCAGCAGCCUGCCGCACUCCAUCGAGGCCCGGUGCCACGACCGAGGGUCCCCCAUGAAGCCCACGAGUGGACAACCAGGAGGCGACGUGAUGGCAAAGGCGACAAGAACGGCAUCGCAGGUGAGUUCCACCACCGCUGGAACCUUCUUUCUCCAUGUUCAGUUGCACAUCUUAUCUCUGCAUGUCCUAAGCUGCUACUCCAUGACUAUUUGUGUGUGUAUAGCUGUUAUAUCAUACGCUACUCUCACAAUUUUGAUCCCAAGUUAUGUGCUGGGUGUGUAUAAUUGUACCUUAUUUUGCAGUUGCUGCCGGGGCAGCAGCUUCACACUACCACACCGUCCUAGGCUUCAAAAUCUGGUAAUGCAACUCCCCCUCCGCCUCCUUAGUUCGGAAAUUGGUUGGUGGCGCACAGUGGAGACUAAAAUUUCAGUGGAGGCUUCUUUCCACAAUUAUGUUCAUCUCAGCCAUAAGAUAGAGAGAGAUCAAUAG